This 563-nucleotide ribosomal RNA is filed under the name uncultured bacterium. RNAcentral's name for it is "bacterial SSU rRNA". It matches the Rfam family "Bacterial small subunit ribosomal RNA", at positions 8 to 570 of the family's 1533-position model. The record is from RNAcentral.
AGAGUUUGAUCCUGGCUCAGGAUAAACGCUGGCGGCAUGCCUAACACAUGCAAGUCGAACGGGGUUUAUAUAACAGAACUCUCCGGAGGGAAGUUAUAUAAACCUAGUGGCGGACGGGUGAGUAACGCGUGGGGAACCUGCCCUGUACCGGGGGACAACAGCCAGAAAUGGCUGCUAAUACCGCAUAAUCCUGCGCUGCCGCAUGGCAGCGCAGGGAAAACUCCGGUGGUACAGGAUGGUCCCGCGUCUGAUUAGCUUGUUGGCGGGGUAACGGCCCACCAAGGCAACGAUCAGUAGCCGGCUUGAGAGAGCGGACGGCCACAUUGGGACUGAGACACGGCCCAGACUCCUGCGGGAGGCAGCAGUGGGGAAUAUUGCACAAUGGGGGGAACCCUGAUGCAGCAAUGCCGCGUGGGUGAAGAAGUACCCCGGUAUGUAAAGCCCUGUCAGCAGGGAAGAAAAUGACGGUACCUGACUAAAAAGCCCCGGCUAACUACGUGCCAACAGCCGCGGUAAUACGUAGGGGGCGAGCGUUAUCCGGAUUUACUGGGUGUAAAGGGAGC